CCUACGGGAGGCAGCAGUAGGGAAUAUUGCUCAAUGGGGGAAACCCUGAAGCAGCAACGCCGCGUGGAGGAUGAAGGUUUUCGGCUUGUAAACUCCUUUUGUUAGAGAAGAUAAUGACGGUAUCUAACGAAUAAGCACCGGCUAACUCCGUGCCAGCAGCCGCGGUAAUACGGAGGGAGCCAGCGUUACGCGGAAUCACUGGGCGUAAAGAGCGCGUAGGCGGGAUAGCAAGUCAGAUGUGAAAACCUAUGGCUUAACCAUAGAACUGCAUUUGAAACUGUUAUUCUAGAGAAUGGGAGAGGUAGGUGGAAUGCGUGGUGUAGGGGUAAAAUCCGUAGAGAUCAAGAGGAAUACUCAUUGCGAAGGCGACCUGCUAGAACAUAACUGACGCUGAUGCGCGAAAGCGUGGGGAGCAAACAGGAUUAGAUACCCCUGUAGUC
RNAcentral lists this ribosomal RNA (440 nucleotides) under uncultured bacterium. Its description in RNAcentral is "partial 16S ribosomal RNA". It matches the Rfam family "Bacterial small subunit ribosomal RNA", at positions 338 to 795 of the family's 1533-position model. The record is from RNAcentral.